This is an RNA transcript of Cavia porcellus (domestic guinea pig), 8548 nucleotides long. It is a transcript of the gene named kelch like family member 33, with no coding region annotated. The record is from RefSeq and is a predicted model, not a curated record. The transcript has 5 exons. NCBI's taxonomy places the organism in Eukaryota, Metazoa, Chordata, Mammalia, Rodentia, Caviidae.
AUGAGUGUCUGCGAGGCCGCACCUCAAGGCUCUAACCGGGAGUGUGUCUCCUGUCCCACGCAGAAGGACGGCCUCGGACUUCCCGUGCCUGCCCGAAGAACCCCCUCCUGGGGCGCCUCCCCCGAGGAGGAUUCUGGUUGCCUUUCCUUUCCUCCGGAACAGCCUGGCCUCAGACCCCGGGUCCCAGGAAACCUUGCCUCUGCAGUUUCCCCACGAGAGGAAGAGGAGGAAAGGGAUGAGAACGAUGCAGACUCUGUCGCUGAGGGGCUGCGCAGCGAGGAGCACCCGAGUCAGUUCUUCGCCGAAGCGCAGCGGCUAUGGGAGCAGGGGCUGCUACUGGACGAAGAGGUGUCAGUCGCGGGGCGGGUUUACGGGGUGCAUCGGGUCAUCUUGGCGGCAGUCAGCAGCCUCUUCCGAGGCAGGCUGCUGGCCGGCGGGGGCUCGCGGGGCGGACUCCGCCUGGAUGUGGCCCCGGGAGGGUGGGAGGCCGUGCUGACCUUCGCCUACCAGGGGGUGCUGGGCCCCGCCGCGCGGGGGGAUGUGCUGGCUGCGGCCGAGGCCCUGGGCGCGCCCCGGGUGGAGGCCGCAGCCCGGCGGAGACGUGAGGGUCCCGGAAACACCGCGGAGGAGGAAGCGGCGCCCAGCCCAGCGGAGGAGCUGCGGGAAAACCUGCGCGGCAUCGAGCGCCUCUACCGAGAGGGCGUCGGCUGUGAUCUGGAGCUGGAGGCAGACGGCUUUCGGCUGCGGGUGCAUCGAGCAGCCCUGGCCUGCGGCAGUGAGUUCUUUGGGGCCAUGCUCCUGAGUGGCAUGAGGGAAUCCCAAGGAACAGAGGUAUCUCUGCGCACUAUGUCUUCCCAUGACCUGCGACUCCUCGUCUCUUUUGCUUACUCUGGAGUAGUGUGGGCAAGGUGGCCAGGACUUCUGAGAGCUGCCCAGGCUGCUCUGCAAUACCAAAGUUCUUCCUGCCUGAAUCUAUGUCAGAAGGCCUUGGUGCAAGGCCUCAGCCCUGCCCGUUGCCUGGCCUUAUUCCCCAUGGCUGAAACCCCCGGGUUGGAGAGGCUCUGGAGUAACGCUCGUCACUACCUCCUCAGCCAUCUGCCUGCGGUGGCUUUGUGCCCUGCUUUCCCUUCCUUCCCAGCUGCCUGCCUGGCAGAGCUCCUGGAUAGCGAUGAGCUUCAUGUGCAGGAGGAGUUUGAGGCCUUUGCAGCUGCACGGCGUUGGCUGGCUGCCAACCCUGAGACACAGGAGUCUGAAGCCAAGGCCCUGCUGCGAUGUGUCCGCUUUGGCCGUAUGUCUACCAGAGAGCUGAGAAAAGUGCGGGCAGCUGGGCUUCCCUCAUUCCUGCCCCCAGACAUGCUGCACCACUUGAUGGUGGAGGCUGAGGUUCCAGGUCAAGAGAGGUGGAGAAAGCCUGACCAGGCACUGGUGGUGAUUGGUGGGGACGAGCUCAGACCUGACAUGGCCCGAAGACAGCCUUCUCAAAAAGUGUGGUGGGCCAGGGCCUUCCACUGCGGCAUGGGACUGGUACGAACUGUGGAGUGGGGAAUGCUGCCUGCCCUGCCUGCCCCAGGGCGCUUCCGGCAUGGGGCUGCAAGCCUGGCAGGAAGUGAACUCUAUGUGUGUGGGGGACAGGACUUCUACAGCCAGUCCAACACUCUGGCUUCAACUCUCAGGUGGGACCCCAGUCAAGAAGACUGGGAAGAGAUGGCACCUUUGUGCCAGGCUCGGAGUUUGUUCCCUCUGGUGGCAUUGGAUGGACAGCUUUAUGCCCUUGGUGGACUAUAUAAUGGUGUUGCCCUUAACUCUGUGGAGACCUACAAUCCUGAGCUCAACAUCUGGAGGUCAGCACCUCCACUUCCGGCCCCAUGCUUUGCCCAUGCAGCUGCCAUCUUGGAAGGCCGAUUGUACCUGAGUGGUGGCCACAAUGGAGCUGGCCAGUAUCUGACCUCAUUACUGCAUUAUGACCCCAAACUUGAGAAGCCAGGAACACUUUUAAGUCCAAUGGGGAUACCUCGGGCUGGCCAUAUCAUGGCUGCUCUGGGCAGGCGGUUGUAUGUAGCAGGUGGGCUAGGUGAGAUGGGGGACCUGUUAAGCUUUGAGGCCUAUGAACCAAGGACUGAUAGCUGGACUCAGUUAGUACCCCUGCCAUCCCCCCACGUAUGCGCUGCAGGUGCUGUGCUGCAGGGGGAGUUACUGGUGUUGGGGGGCUACAGCCACCGCACAUACGCCCUCUCCCACCUUAUCCACGCCUACUCUCCUGGCCUGGGCCGAUGGUUGUGCCUGGGAACUUUACCAAGGCCUCGGGCUGAGAUGCCUGCCUGCAUCCUGACACUGCCUACGGUGCAGCACACAGCUUUGGCACCCGCUCUGCAGCAAACCAAACCCGCUGGGUGAUGGGAGUAGCGGUGCAUGGGAUAGGAAGGGAUAUGACAUAUCAUGAAAAAUAGACAGGGAUUAUGAAAGAAUGAUUACUAUUUGCAAUAUUUUUACAUAGUGCUAGACAGCUCAUAAACUGCUUUUUAAAGGUAUGCUAUCCAUGGAGGGAAAGUGAUUCCAGAACUCCUGGGGGAAGACCUUUGGGGAAAGAGAGGCAGCUAAAUAUUUGGGAUUCUUUGUUUGCUUGUUUGUUUGGGUUUUUGAGACAGUCUUAUGUAGUUCAGGCUGGUCUUGAACUCUGUAGCCCAAGCUGACUUCCACCUCACUGCCUCUUGUUUCAGCCUCCAAAAUGCUGAGAUCACAGGUGAGGGCCACGAUGCUCAGUGGGCAGAUGAAUAGUAGGGUUAAUAGAAGAGGCUGAGGCAGGAGGAUCACCUAGAGUCCGAGACACACACACACACACACACACACACACACACACACACACACACACAGAAGCUUUAGUAGGUCCUGAAAGCUUAGGGGUCCUGAGAGGACAGUUGGAAAAUUAUUCUAAUCCAUGGAUCAAAGAGAAAAAUACAAGCCAGAAGUAUUCUGAUCCAUGGUGGCACAUGCUUAAAAUCUCAGCCACUCCAGAGGCUGAGAUAGAAUCACAAAUUUGAGACUAUUUUGUGCAAUUUAGUGAGACCUUGUCUUGAAAUAAAAUGAAAAGAGACUGAGGUUGUAACUCAGUGGUAGAGCUCUUUCCUCUAAUAUUCAAGGCCUGGGGUUCUUCAAACCUGAAAGAGAGAGAGAGACAGAGAGAGAGAUAGAGAGAGAGAGAGUGAGAGAGGAGGGAGAGAGAAAAGGAAAGAAAGAGAGAAUUGUGGGAAGGCCAUCCAUGAGUUUGAGGAAUGAGGGAGGAAUUGUUCAGCAAUUUCUUUCCUCGCGUGUCUUCCUUUUUGCUCUCCCAUCCCUGCCGUAACUAACCCCUCUUGGCAGUGUUUUUGCACAGGUAAUUUUGCUAGUACCGCCUAGCAUUUCUCAGCCCAGACCCCAUAGGCUGCCCCUGACAGCAUUUUGCUUUCCAUCUGAGGCAGAAGUUCCCAUCACAGCAAAGGGAACUCAGAUGCAUAACUGGCUUUCAGGAAAUUAAGGGGGAACACUGUAUGAGGGAUGAGCAGGGCAGAGGCCAUGGAGGGAGGCGCCCAAGGUGGAAGAAGAAUGAGCAGAGUCUGGCAGGGGUGGAAGAAAGCAGAUACCCGGCUUUCCUUCCCUGUGGGUGAACUGGAUUGUGGAGAGCAGUCGUGGUGUGAGGUCCCAAGACACAAGAAGUGGCUAAGAGAAGAGCAAAAGGUGGACAAGGCUUGGACGAGCUGUUUUCCAUCAAUCCCUUUUCUGUUUUGUUUUUAACGCUUUUUUGUUUUUCUUGUCCAGGGAAAGUUGGGUCUUUUUGUCCUUUUUUUUUUACCCCCAGGGAAGGUUGGGUCCUACAUUUCUCUCCCUCCUCCUCUAUUCUUUUCCUCCUUAUGAGUGUUUUAUUCCUCAUGAGUGUUUUUCACUUCUGUACUGCUUUCUUGCUUAGUAUGAGCCGGGCACUGUAUGAGGCACAAGGACACAUAGGUCUGAGAGCUCCUGUCAGAAAACAGCUUCAUGAACGCCUCCAAGUGUUGUGGUGAACUUAAAGCAUGAGAUUCCUAUGAAAACCGAGAGGAUGAAGGAAUGGACUCUACCAGUACAGCUUCCAUCAGAGAAGGCACCCCAAGUAGAAGUCGUUUGAACUGAAACCUUCAAGGCUGCCUGGAAGUACACCUGCACCAGGUUAGGGAAGGUUGCAGCUCAGUGGUAGAGUGCUUGUCUAGCAUUUGUAAGGUUCUGGGCUUGAUCUUCAGCAUACACACACACACACAUACCCCACCAGUUAAAGGAGGAAUGUUUCUUAGCUAGAAUGACUGGGGCAUGGUGCCCUAUUUCUUCACAGAAGGAGAAGCCAGCAUUCUAGAGAUUCUUGAGAGAAUUCUGCUGCUAUCACCAGCAUACAAAGUCUUCUCGGGAACCUUUUCCGAAGACAGUGGCUUUCUCUUAAACAUGUACACCUCACUCCAGGGUUCUGCUACAUCUUUCCUCUCUGAUUUUCCUUUUCUGCCCCCUCCCUGCCACCAUCCCAGGCAACAAAAGGCCAAGCAUUCUUUUUGUAAGCCAAUUUUCUUUUUUUGUUUUUGUUUUGUUUUUUGUUUCUUUGUCUUUUUCAGACACAUAACCCAGGGUGUCCUGGACUCACUAUGUAGCCUAGGUUGCCAUUGAACUUGCAGCAAUCCUCCUGUCUCAGCCUUCUAAGUGCUGGGAUUACAGUACCAGGGAUCCAAUUCACGACCACCUGCUUGCAAGGCGGAUACUUAUGCUGCUGAGCUAAAUCUCCAGUCCCCAAGCUGAAUUCUUUAAAAUAGCUUUUCAGUGAGACAGGCUGGUGAAGACCAUGAAGCCGCAGAAGCUCAGAGCCACUGGAAAGCUUUGAAGAUGGCAGAAUUGAGGAGCAAAUAUAUCCAGCUUCUAGCAGAUGUACAAGCCCAGCCAGGUGACCAUCCCCUGUACCAGGGUCAGGCUCAUGUUGGGGAAACUGUGAUGCACAUCCAUUCAUUUUUUGAGGAACAUGAUGCAGAUGGGCACCAGCAGGUUGAACAGGAGUCUGGUGGCAAUUCGUCUAUGGUCCAAACUCACUUGCUAGUGAUGCCCAGACCCCUCCAUGCCUCCACACUGGACCAUCCAGCCUUGGGGCUAGGGAGCAGGCAACCAGGGUCCUCAGAGUCUUUCCCACCUGCAUGUCCUAAGAAGCCAGUCUCAUCCCUCUGGCCAGAGCGAGGCAUGCGCCAGUAUCCUCACAGGGGAGAACGCAGCCACCACCUCUUCCACACGUACUCUCUGCCCGACAGCAGGUCUUUUUCCAUUUUGUGUCUGAGACAGGCUCUCACUGUGUAGCUCACCCUACCUUUGAGCUCUCUAUGUAGCCCAGGCUGGCCUUGAACUCACUGCACUCCUUUGGCCUUAGCCUCUCAAGUAUUGGCAGUGUAGGCGUACAACAUCACGGCCACCUGGUUUGCUGUGUUUUCAGACAAGGCCUUCCUGUAAAGCCCCAGCUGGGCUUCAGCCCAUGAUCUUGCCUUAGCCUCCUAAGUGCUGCAAAAACACAGUUUCAUAAUAAUCUACUUGUUGAUGCUCCUUUUUGUUCAGUGGAGUGGAUUAUAUUCAGAGCCUCACAAAUAAAUGCUCGGCAAGCUUGCUACCACUGAACUACAUCCCCAGCCCUGCAAGCCUUGCUGAGAGUAGGUGACAUAUCUGACACUAACAUUUAAGAAGCUGGGGAGAAACAUCACAGGGGAGGGAUAUAAAUAGCACAGUUUAAUUACUCUUUUAGGAUACUGAGUAUAUUCUAAAUCUUGGUAACCCUUAGGAAUCGUGGUGAAAAGAUAUAAAUUCGUUAUAGCUCCUGGUAAGAUCACUAACAAAUUACAUACAUAUACACAUACAUACAUACAUAUAAUUUGUGAUUAUAUUAUUUUCCUCUGAAAGAUAAGAUGCUCAUUCUUUUAUUAUUAUAGAUAAUUCAGAGUAUCAUAUUCUAUGCUUGGUAUUAGAAUAAUGGGAAGAAAUCCUCCCUGAAUUGCUGCUUCGGUAAUCAUGAGGAAGACCUGUGCUCAGCCUAAAUGCCGGUGCCUGGAUACAUCACAUUACUGAAUGUUCUUUGGCUUUCUACCAGCUUGACUGAUCACCAGCUCAUUUAGUCUGCACUUCAGUGUGUAGAUCCAGCUGUUACUACAGAGAAAAAAAACCAUUUGUUUUAGAUUCUACCUAACUGUGUUUACCUGCUUUCUAUGUGCAGGCAGGAUGCUAAGCACUUUAUAUCCAUUCUCUUAUUUAUGUAUUUUAAAAAGUAGGCAGCGCUUACUUAACAUCAGAAACAGCUGCCACAUGUGUGUAACCCAAACCCUUGGGAGGCUGAGUCAAGAGAAUUACCAGGAGUUCUCACCCAGGGUGGGCUAUGUAGGGAGUUCAAGGCCAACCUGAACCACGUAGGAAGGCCCUGUAUCAAAAAACCAAGAUGAACAAAAAGAAACAGUUGACCAAAUCAGUGUCACUCAAGAUCACAAAGAAACUAUUUGUCCUCUGAUUCAUCCUGAGCAUACCAUUAUACUCUCACUUUGCAGAUGAGAAACCUGAAGCUUAGAGAACUUAAACAAGUUAUCCGAAGUCUCAGUGUGGAAAUGUUAAACUGUUAAGAGGGUUUUAGAGAUCCUCUUUUUAAAAUGAGGAAUGUGUGUGUGUGUGUGUGUGUGUGUGUGUCUGACACUGGGCAUUAAUUCCAGGACUUUCUGUAUCUUAGGAAAGUGGCAUACCACUGAGUUACACCCCCAGCCAUCAUUGUAAUUUCAAAACAAGUUAGCAUAUCAUUAAGAGGUCCAGGCUUCCCUCAAGCUUUCAAUUCUCUGCCUCAACCUCUUGAACAGUUUGGAAUAAACAUCUGUGGUUCUGCCCCCACCUGUACUUAGCCUUCUCUGGCGUAGAUACAUAUUCACUGAGUGUCCAGCUCUAAUCAUGAAAUUCACACUUAGACUCUAUAGAUGGGGGUAAGGGAGGAGAGUAACAACCAGCACUGGAGGCUUAGAGACUUGGUUUAGAGCAAUCUACCAUCCAAAUGUGCACUGCAAACUAGCUGUGAGCGCCAAAACAGCUAAGAUGGAGCAAGGAUCUAUUCUUAUUUAUUUAUUUUUAUAUCUUUGGUUAUUUGAGACAGGGUUUUGUUUUGUAGUACAGAUUUGAACUCACUAUUCGAGGCUGGCCUCGAAUUCAUGGUGAUUCUCCUGCCUCAGCAUGGGAGUGCUAGGAUUACAGGUGUGCACCACCAUGCCAGGCUGGGACUUGUUUCAUUUACUAGAGUAUGUUGAGUUAGGCAUUAUUAUAAGAAUGUUACAACAGAUGAGAAUUCUCAAACAGAGGGUUGUAUCUGACCUCUUUGCCAUCAGCAUUAUCUGAAUUAAAAAGAAUCAAGAACCAGUCCUGAUCAUAUUCAAGAUUUACGAGAUUACUCUUCACUCUCUGUCUCUGUCUCACUCUGCCUUUCUUUCUCACUUUCCCCUAGGGAUUUUACAGAUGCUAACCAUGUACUUACCGCUAAGCUACACUCCCAGUCCUAACCUAAUUUCUUUUGCACCUUUGGUCACACUGUCAAUCAACAGCAGAGGAGGAUUUAAACACAAGAGCUUUGCACUCCAUGGUGUACAGUUCAACAAUCUUGUUUUAGUAUAUACUAUACUUUCCUACCCACAUCUCAGAUUAUUCCAAGAUGGUGGCCAAGAAUUCCAGAUCUCCCCUGAUUAUCCUGGUAAAGGAAAAAUUGUCUGAUGUCAUAAAUGUAAUUACUAGGGUGUGCACUGAGAAUAUACUUCAGGGGUAGAGUAUUUUCCUCAUAUCCGUGAAGCACUGAAAAAAUGGCUGGCCUCAAACUUUUAAUUCUCUGCCUCAGACCCCUGAAAAGUUUGGAUUUUGUCCCUUGAGCACAAAAAACUAAAACUAAAAAAAAUUUAAAAAAAGAGAAGCCACUAUACUUACAAAGGUCCAAAAAUGGAGAGUGAAAGAUACGUGAAGUUAAUCAGUUAACUUAUACAGAUAAAGCCCAGAAAAAGACUAUUUUGAAACCAGUUAAAAUUCUAUGGAGCCAGCGGCAGUUGUGGAUCAAGAGCAGAAACAAGAAGCCAAUCUGUGCCGUACUGUGAGCCAGUGGCAGCCACAUCCUCCUGUGAGCCAGCGACAGUCGUGGCUGGGAGAAGAACCAAGAAGCCAAGCUGUGCCCUCUUGAGAGGCAGCUGGCAUGUAGACCAGGAGACAAGAAGAGCCUAUCCCCUUCAAGCAGCCAGCUGAUUCAGAGAAACAUAGGAUGAGAUGAUAGCAACUGAAAUUAAUAAGAACUUAAAGCUUAUAUAGUUUGAUUUACUUUGCAAGCCUAAAGCUGGUAGUCUGAGCAUCUAUUUAGAGGAUAACAAUUGUUUGAUUGAUUUUGCAAGCCUAAAGCGGAGCAUCUAUUUAAAGGACAACAACAUGCAGUAUAGUAACUACUGUAGAUUUCCUACCGCCUUAUCGCUGUUUUGAUGUUUUAUUGCUCUGUUUUAUUCCCUUUAAAACUAAAUAAAACAUAUACAAA